This 253-nucleotide ribosomal RNA is filed under the name uncultured bacterium. RNAcentral describes it as "partial 16S ribosomal RNA". It matches the Rfam family "Bacterial small subunit ribosomal RNA", at positions 524 to 776 of the family's 1533-position model. The record is from RNAcentral.
UACAGAGGUCCCAAGCGUUGUUCGGAUUCACUGGGCGUAAAGGGUGCGUAGGCGGUCUGGUAAGUCUGAGGUGAAAUCUCACAGCUUAACUGUGAAACUGCAUUGGAUACUAUCCGGCUCGAGGAAUGGAGGGGAGACUGGAAUACUUGGUGUAGCAGUGAAAUGCGUAGAUAUCAAGUGGAACACCAGUGGCGAAGGCGAGUCUCUGGACAUGGCCUGACGCUGAGGCACGAAAGCCAGGGGAGCAAACGGG